Molecule: small RNA, 1235 nt
Filed under: Measles morbillivirus
Lineage: Riboviria; Orthornavirae; Negarnaviricota; Monjiviricetes; Mononegavirales; Paramyxoviridae
Description: defective-interfering RNA
Source: RNAcentral
ACCAGACAAAGCUGGGAAUAGAAACUUCGUAUUUUCAAAGUUUUCUUUAAUAUAUUGCAAAUAAUGCCUAACCACCUAGGGCAGGAUUAGGGUUCCGGAGUUCAACCAAUUAGUCCUUAAUCAGGGCACUGUAUCCGACUAACUUAUACCAUUCUUUGGUCUCCUUGACUGUUACCUUAAAAACCCACUCGCGUUUCAAACCCCCCAUCCAUUCAGAUAUAGAGACCUUGCCUAACAAAGAUACUAUAGAGAAGCUAGAGGAAUUGGCAGCCAUCUUAUCGAUGGCUCUGCUCCUGGGCAAAAUAGGAUCAAUACUGGUGAUUAAGCUUAUGCCUUUCAGCGGGGAUUUUGUUCAGGGAUUUAUAAGUUAUGUAGGGUCUCAUUAUAGAGAAGUGAACCUUGUAUACCCUAGAUACAGCAACUUCAUAUCUACUGAAUCUUAUUUGGUUAUGACAGAUCUCAAGGCUAACCGGCUAAUGAAUCCUGAAAAGAUUAAGCAGCAGAUAAUUGAAUCAUCUGUGAGGACUUCACCUGGACUUAUAGGUCACAUCCUAUCCAUUAAGCAACUAAGCUGCAUACAAGCAAUUGUGGGAGACGCAGUUAGUAGAGGUGAUAUCAAUCCUACUCUGAAAAAACCUACACCUAUAGAGCAGGUGCUGAUCAAUUGCGGGUUGGCAAUUAACGGACCUAAGCUGUGCAAAGAAUUGAUCCACCAUGAUGUUGCCUCAGGGCAAGAUGGAUUGCUUAAUUCUAUACUCAUCCUCUACAGGGAGUUGGCAAGAUUCAAAGACAACCAAAGAAGUCAACAAGGGAUGUUCCACGCUUACCCCGUAUUGGUAAGUAGCAGCAACGAGAACUUAUAUCUAGGAUCACCCGCAAAUUUUGGGGGCACAUUCUUCUUUACUCCGGGAACAGAAAGUUGAUAAAUCGGUUUAUCCAGAAUCUCAAGUCCGGUUAUCUAGUACUAGACUUACACCAGAAUAUCUUCGUUAAGAAUCUAUCCAAGUCAGAGAAACAGAUUAUUAUGACGGGGGGUUUAAAACGUGAGUGGGUUUUUAAGGUAACAGUCAAGGAGACCAAAGAAUGGUACAAGUUAGUCGGAUACAGCGCUCUGAUUAAGGAUUAAUUGGUUGAACUCCGGAACCCUAAUCCUGCCCUAGGUAGUUAGGCAUUAUUUGCAAUAUAUUAAAGAAAACUUUGAAAAUACGAAGUUUCUAUUCCCAGCUUUGUCUGGU